RNAcentral lists this long non-coding RNA (6251 nucleotides) under Gossypium raimondii (Peruvian cotton). Its description in RNAcentral is "long non-coding RNA (GRAI_LNC000850)". Lineage: Eukaryota; Viridiplantae; Streptophyta; Magnoliopsida; Malvales; Malvaceae. The record is from RNAcentral.
AUCGUUAUAAAUUGAAAAAAACUAAUAUCAACUAAAUUAUUUGUAAUUGUGUUAAAAAAACAAGUAUUGAAUAAUUAAAAAAACAAGUUACUGGAAAAUCGAUAAACAGAAGCAGUUUUUUACCGGAAAUGAAGGAAGGAAUGAAGGAGGCGAUAGAGAGGAGAGCACGGAAAAUGUCUUACGGAAAUUGAAAGGGUAAGACAUUUUCCCUAAAAUGUAACCCAUUUUCGCUUGUUUUGGAGUUCAUUUUCCAAAUGGAAAAUGUUUUCCGCCAAUCAAACGCUGGAAAAGUUGGAAAUGAUUUUCCGGAAAAUCAAUUCCGUCAAUCAAACAGACCCUUAAUGGAAUUAAAAAUGUAUGGACCAAAUAGAGAAAAUUACCAAAUUUCAAAAAUAAUAUGAACCAAAAAAAAAUUUAAAGAUCAAAUUGAAAAAAAUACCAAAUUUAUGUACUAAAUGUUACUUUUUUUUACUAUAUAGAAUACUGCUAACUUCAAUAUGCUGAUUGCUCCAACCACGAGUAUUAUGGACCCUGCUACUUAAUGAUCAUUGUAUCAUCCACAUCUUCAUCAAGCGCGUUGAUGAUUGUUUUUUAUAAAAAGCCACCAUAAAAAAAUUAGUGAACAAAUCAUGGUGACAGCAGCUUAGCACUCACGGAUUUAUUACCCACCGUAAUUAAACAACACACAUUCGCCUUGACAUGCUAACACGUGUUUGCCCGAAAAUAUGAACAAAUUGUCUAACUGAUUUAUUUUAAAUUCAUAAUUGUUGAAAAAGUCUAAAACGAUUUGGUUCAUUCAAAAUAAAAAUUUGUUUUAAAAUUUAAUGGAUCUUUCUGUUCGGAAUCUUUUCCAAAAAAAGUAAAUACAUCGAUGUGCCAACAAACUUUAAUUUUUUAAUUGUUCUUUAAACACGUUAUCAUAUAAUUAAAUAAAUAUUUUUACAGUAUGCUACCCUAGCACGUUUGUGUCUGCCGCCUCUGGCAAGAUUUUAGGUUUUUUGUUCUUCUGUCUUUCUUUUUGGCUUACGGCGUUGUGUCCUUGAAAAUUAUUGAGAAUGAAUUAGCCCAAUUAUCGAUCAACGAAGAGGAAGAUGUUAUUAAAAUUCAAGAAAAUCCAGGUACGAAAAGAAGUGAGGAGUUUUUUCAAUUAGUGGGGUGUUUUCUUACAGCGAGUAUAAUUCACUUUCCAGCUAUGAAAAGUACUAUGGCAAAUCUAUGGCAUCCUAUUCGAGGAGUUUGCAUUCGGGAUCUGGGGGAAAAAAGGUUUUUGUUCCAAUUUUUUUCAUUUUAUGGAUAUGGAGAGGGUUUUGAAAGGCUCCCCAUGGACCUUCAAUAAUCAUCUAUUGAUACUUUAUAGACUGCGAUGGAGGGAGGAUUCGUUGCAGGUCUCUUUAGUGCUAACCCUUUUCUGGGUUCAGAUACACGAAGUGCCUAUUGGUUUGUUUUCUGAAAAUUUAGCAGUGAAUCUAGGGAAUUUUUUGGGGUAUUUUAUGGAAUAUGAUGUGUCAAAUUUAGGGAAAGAAAAUAGAAACUUUAUGAGGGUUAGGGUCCAAGUUGAUAUAAGACGUCCUUUGAAAAGAAAGAAGUUAAUCGGAUUUUGUGGAAGACAAUCAUAUGUUUGUUUUAAAUAUGAAAUAUUGACUAUUUUCUACUUCUAUUGUGGAAAACUGGGCCAUAAUGACUCGUUUUGUGAGGCAAAAAUGAUGACUGGAGUGGAAAUAGCUGAAAUGGGGAGGGAUUUAUCAAUAAAAGCACAAUCCCAAAUAGCUCUGACUAUGAAUAGUGUCUGGCAACGAGAGGAAGAGGAGGGGGGUUCAGACGGGAUUCAGGAGGCAAACAGGAGAUUUAUGAAUAGACCACAGGAAGAGUUUUGGGAAGGCUGUUGAUCCAGUUCUCAGUAUUAAUUUGGAAGGUGGUUUAUUAUGUGAUGAUGCAAAGCAGGUUAGCUCACUGACAGACCAUGGUCAACAUGCGAUGGAUCAUGACUUGGAGGAUGUAGCCUUAGUAGGAGAAGAAGGUAAAAAAAGAUCUAGAAGGGAGAGCGACGACUUAUCAAAGACUGAGGAGUUAAAUUCUCCGGCAAGAAAUAGGAGAUUAAUGGAUCUUAAUCAUUUGUCAUCGGCGGUGCCAAGAGGCAAGCCGACCGGGCAUUAUGAAAAUAAUAAGUUGGAAUGUCCGUGGAUUGGGGAGUCCACGGACAGUUAGAAGACUUCGGCACUCGCUGACGACUUGUGAUCCCCACAUAGUCUUCUUUAUGGAGACUAAACUUUGCGGAAAACAGAUGGAAAGAGUUCGACGGAGAUGUGGUUUUGUGAAUAGAAUUGAGGUGGACGCAGAGGGAACUAGAAGAGGGAUAUGUUUGGCAUGGAAGAAUGAUGUUAAUAUUUCUUUAAAAAUUUUCUUUAAAAGGCAUAUUGACGCGAUAGUCCAUGACGAUGAGAGGGAAGUUAUGUGGCGUUUUACAGGUUUCUAUGGUACCCUGUACGCACAAGAUAAAGAAGAUUCAUGGGCUGUUCUGAAAAAUCUCUCUAAUGGAGAUAAUAUACCAUAGUUAGUAUGUAGAGAUUUCAAUGAAGUCAUGAAUGGAAAUGUUUCGGAAGGCGCUGGAGUUUUGUCAAUUGAAUGAUGUGGGUUAUUCGGGCAGAUGGUUCACAUGGGAAAGAGGUAAUCUCUCAAAAACGAAUAUAUGAGAACGGUUGGAUAGGGGGUGGCAAAUAAGAAAUGAAUUUCACUAUUUUCAGACGUUAAAGCUCAACAUUUGGUUCAUUCUUUUUCUGAUCAUUGUCCCAUUUUAAUUGAUACUAAAAAGAAAACAAGACGACAAAAUGAGAAUAUAUUCGGAAUUGAAAACUGGUGGUUUUUGGAGGACUUAUUCGUUGCUGAAGCUGAGCAGCAGUGGAAGAUGACACCAGGUAAUUUUUUGCAGAAGACGAAAAUCCUAAUGAAGGGGCUGGAAAAUUGGGCUGGAAAAAUACGAAACAAGAAAAAUAGAAAAAGAAAUUUUUAACAACAAAGCUAUCUAAGCUACUCGAUGCUGAAAGGGAUGACAUUAACAUGGCGGAGAUGAUCGAUACGAAGAUUCAACUAAAUAUGGAGUUUGAGAAGGAGGAAAGAUAUUGGGAGCAAAGGGCUCGAUUGAAUUGGUUAAAAUUAGGUGACAAAAAUACAACUUUUUUCCAUAGCCAAGCAACCCAAAGGCAGAGAAAAAACAAGAUCAGGAGGUUACAAAAUGCACAUGGAAAGGAUACAAGAGAUCCUCAAGAAAUAGAAGAAAUAGCAAGAUCCUACUUCCAGAAUUUAUUUGCUUCAGAAAAUCAAGAGAAUCUCGACUAUUUACUCUUGGGUAUUGGUCGAUGUAUCUAUGAAUAGGAAAAUAAAAAGCUGACUGCGCAAUAUACAUGAGAAGAAAUCGCGAGGCUUUGUUCGAGAUGGCAUCCACUAAGGCACCAGGCGAAGAUGGAUUCCCAGCUUUAUUUUAUCAGAAGUGUUGGCAUUUUAUUGGAGAUGAUGUAGUUUCCUUCUGUCUACAACUCUUGAAUGAAGAUAUGAAGGUUAGUUCAAUUAAUACAACUCAUAUUGUGCUCGUUCCAAAAACUAAUAAUAUGGCUAAUGUGACACAUUUUAGGUCAAUUAGUUUAUGCAAUGUCAUUUAUAAAAUAAUGGCAAAAGCUAUAUAGCGAACAAAUUUAGAGGAGUGAUUGAUAAAUGCAUUGAUAGUGCACAAAGUGCCUUUGUGCCAGGAAGAUUAAUCUCAGAUAAUGUUCUACUUGCUUACGAGAUAUUGCAUUCCCUAAAAUAGAAAAGAGUGGGGAAAAAGGGCUAUAUAGCUGUAAAAUUGGACAUGAGUAAGGCUUAUGAUAGAGUUGAAUAGAAUUUUAUUAAAGAAAUAAUGUGUCAAAUGGGUUUCGCUCAAAGUUGGAUUGAUACUAUUAUGAAAUGCAUGACUACCGUUUCUUACAAGGUUGUGGUAAAUGGAAAUAUCGGGGUGACAUUCAGUUCAUCAAGGGACUUCGACAAGGUGAUCCUUUGAGUCCAUUUCUUUUCUUAAUAUGUGGGGAAGGCCUUUCCAGUCUUAUGAGAAAAGCAACAAAUGAAGGUUUUUUGAAGGGUGUCAAAGUAAGCAGAAGAGGACCACAUGUAUCACAUUUAUUAUUUGUAGAUGAUUGCAUUCUUUUUGGGGAGGCAACAUGUAGAGGGGCUAAUACAAUCAAGGAAAUCUUAAGUGAGUAUAAAAGAGGUUCGGGACAGUGUGUGAGUAUGGACAAAUCAACUAUUUUUCUCAGCAAAAAUACGACGGCAGAAGAAAGAAGUCAGGUGGUAAACUUGCUGGGAAUCCGAAGCUCAAAUGAACCAGAACGUUAUCUAGGUUUGCCGACCAUGGUAGGACGAAAAAAGAAGGCUUCUUUUCAAGCUUUGAAACAUAGACUAAGACGGCGUAUUGAUACCUGGAGCAUUAGAUUUUUAUCGCAGGGCAGGAAAGAAGUUUUCAUCAAAGCUGUAUUACAGGCCAUCCCGACAUAUUCAAUGGCUUGCUUCUUACUCCCAAAAAUUUUAUGCGGAGAAAUAGAAGGAAUUAUCGCGAAUUUUUGGUGGAAAAAGGGUCAAGGUAAAGGGGAAUUCAUUGGUGCUCUUGGAAUAAUCUUUGCAGUUUAAAAGAAAAUGGAGGUUUGGGUUUUCGUAAUCUCAGUCAGUUUAAUAUUGCGUUAUUAGCCAAACAGGGGUGGCGUCUUUUUAAUUAUCCAAAUUCACUUUUAGCCAGAGUCUUUAAAGCAAAGUAUUAUCCACAGUCUGUUUUUUUAAGUGCAGAGUUGGGGAAUUUACCUUCUCUUACCUGGAAGAGUAUCUGGGCAGUAAAGAGACUCCUCUUUCAGGGGCUAAGUUGAAGAGUUGGGAGAGGAAACAAUGUUUUCAUUUGGACAGAUCGGUGGAUUCCAGGGAUUGAACCUAGUACAUGGCAGAACGGAGAUGAAAAUAGGGAGCUAAAAACAGUAUCAGAUUUAAUUGAUGUAACAAAUAAGAAGUGGAAAACGGAGGUCAUUAUUAGUACCUUUCAAUCGGAUAUAGCUAAAAAAAUUUUGGAGAUACCACUUGCAGAAACGGACAGUGAAGACUUGCGCGUUUGGAAAGGUGAACCGACCGGAGAGUUCUCUGUACGGAGCACCUAUAAACUAUUACAAGAAGUUGAUUCAAUUUCUAAUAACUUAUUACAGACCGAUUUUAAAGAAUUCUACAGAAAGUUAUGGGAUUUACAACUUCCAUAAAAAACUCUACUGUUUGUCUGGCGAAUAUCCUGGAACUAUAUUCCUACACUAGCCAACCUACGAUACAAGCGAAUAACCACAAAUGUGAGAUGCCCUCGAUGUGGCUUCGGGGAAGAGGACAACUUUUAUGUAUUCCAGCAAUGCCUUACAAGUACUGAAGUUUAGCAUAAUAUUAACAUGGAUUGGGUUACAUCAUAUUCAGAUCAAAAUACCAGAACAUGGCUUACAUGGGUAUUUGCAAAAGGAACUAAGGAACAGUGUCAGAUGUUUUGCUGCGCUUUAUGGAUCAUAUGGAGCUCACGAAAUCAAAUGGCACAUGAAAAAAAACACGCAUCAGAAAGGGACCUUGCACAGAAAAUAGAAAGCUAUAUAGCAGAACUUGAAGAAGUGGGUAAAGAAAGACGUACCUUGAAGACUGCCAGAAUAUAGAGACAUACGGAGGACACAACACAAUUUGAUGCAGCUUUUGAUGCAAACAGGUCUAGAUCGGAGUCGGGGGUCAUUGUACGAAAUCGGAUAGGAGAGAUAAGAGUCUUAAAAACAACCCUUCAUUCCAAUGUCUCAUCUCUAUUUCUUGCAGAGGCAUUCACUUGUCUACAGGCAAUCAAGCUGGGUAUUUCACUGGGCCUCCGAUCAGUCACAAUAAGGGGAGAUUCGAAGACAAUCAUUAAAAAAUGUCAAUCGGCAGAGAUGGAUAAAUCGAUCAUUGGAGCAAUUAUGAAAGAUAUCAAGAGUCAUAGUUCGCUAUUUCAAGAAAUAGAUUUUCAGUUUAUUCAAAAAUCAAAGAACUUCCAAGCCCACAAAAUAGCGAAGGAAGCAUUAGCAAAUGGGGAAGAGAGGUACCUGGUUAGAGAUGAGUCGAUCUACAACGAAGGAGCCAUGGAAGAGGAAUGGUCAAGAAACCCGGAUUGAAGAAAAUUUCAAAAAGAAAGAGAAUUGAAAAUGGUAACAGGAUUGAAGAAAGAACGUUUUGGAAACUGUUAUCUGCCA